GGUGACUAGGGAGAGAGGGGGUGAUUAGUGACAGAGUGAGGGAGCGGGUGACACAGUGACAGAGUUAGGGAGGGAGUAACUAGUGACAGAGAGAGGGGUGGGGUGACUUCCCUCCCUCACUCUGCCACUAGUCACCCAUUCCCUCACUCUGUCACUAGUCUCCCAUUCCCUCCCUCUGUCACUAGUCUCCCCCUCUCCUUCCCUCUGUCACUAGUCACCCACUCCCUCACUCUGUCACCAGUCACCCCCACUCACUGUGUCUCCCCCUCACUCUGCCAC
Pelobates cultripes (western spadefoot toad) is the source of this 279-nucleotide non-coding RNA. NCBI's taxonomy places the organism in Eukaryota, Metazoa, Chordata, Amphibia, Anura, Pelobatidae. The record is from the annotation of a GenBank genome assembly.